Molecule: ribosomal RNA, 930 nt
Filed under: uncultured Actinomycetes bacterium
Lineage: Bacteria; Bacillati; Actinomycetota; Actinomycetes
Description: bacterial SSU rRNA
Rfam family: Bacterial small subunit ribosomal RNA
Source: RNAcentral
UCGAACGAAAUCCAUGGGUGUAGCAAUACACCGGAAGAUUUACUUGCGAACGGGUGAGGAUCACGUGAGAAACGUGCCCCAGACUCUGGGAUAACAAUUGGAAACGAUUGCUAAUACCGGAUGACGUCGGAGAAUCGCAUGAUUCACUGACGAAAGAUAUUUCGGUUUGGGAGCGUCUCGCGGCCUAUCAGCUUGUUGGUGGGGUAAUGGCCUACCAAGGCAACGACGGGUAGCUGGUCUGAGAGGAUGAUCAGCCACACUGGGACUGAGACACGGCCCAGACUCCUACGGGAGGCAGCAGUGGGGAAUCUUGCGCAAUGGGCGAAAGCCUGACGCAGCAACGCCGCGUGCGGGAUGAAGGCCUUCGGGCUGUAAACCGCUUUCAGCAGGAACGAAAAUGACGGUACCUGCAGAAGAAGGAGCGGCCAACUACGUGCCAGCAGCCGCGGUGACACGUAGGCUCCAAGCGUUGUCCGGAUUUAUUGGGCGUAAAGAGCUCGUAGGCGGUUGAGUAAGUCGGGUGUGAAAACUCUGGGCUUAACCCGGAGACGCCAUCCGAUACUGCUCUGACUAGAGUUCAGGAGGGGAGUGGGGAAUUCCUAGUGUAGCGGUGAAAUGCGCAGAUAUUAGGAGGAACACCGGUGGCGAAGGCGCCACUCUGGACUGAAACUGACGCUGAGGAGCGAAAGCAUGGGUAGCAAACAGGAUUAGAUACCCUGGUAGUCCAUGCCGUAAACGGUGGGCACUAGGUGUGGGUUCCAACUAACGGGAUCCGCGCCGUCGCUAACGCAUUAAGUGCCCCGCCUGGGGAGUACGGUCGCAAGACUAAAACUCAAAGGAAUUGAUGGGGGCCCGCACAAGCAGCGGAGCGUGUUGCUUAAUUCGAUGCUACGCGAAGAACCUUACCUGGGUUUGACAUGUUUGGAAAAG